This 298-nucleotide RNase P RNA is filed under the name bovine gut metagenome. RNAcentral describes it as "Bacterial RNase P class B". It matches the Rfam family "Bacterial RNase P class B". From Rfam's summary of the family: Ribonuclease P (RNase P) is a ubiquitous endoribonuclease, found in archaea, bacteria and eukarya as well as chloroplasts and mitochondria. Its best characterised activity is the generation of mature 5'-ends of tRNAs by cleaving the 5'-leader elements of precursor-tRNAs. The record is from RNAcentral.
UUUAGACAAACGCGAUGAUACUUGAUAUCAUUGAGGAAAGUCCAUGCUCACACAGACUGUGAUGUUUGUAGUGUUUGUGCCUAGGGAAAAAAUAACCUAGGGUAGCUUUAUGCUAACGACAAAUUAAAGUGCCACAGUGACGAUGCUUCUUUUUAGAAGAGUGAAACGCGGUAAACUCCACAAGUGAGAAACCCAAAUAUUGGUAGGGGAGCUUUAGCUAGGAAACUGAACCGAUGCUAGGGACUAGAAAUAGUAGAUAAAUGUUUGUCACCUUUUUAGGUACAGAACAUGGCUUAUU